This 744-nucleotide ribosomal RNA is filed under the name uncultured bacterium. RNAcentral's name for it is "bacterial SSU rRNA". It matches the Rfam family "Bacterial small subunit ribosomal RNA", at positions 8 to 796 of the family's 1533-position model. The record is from RNAcentral.
AGAGUUUGAUCCUGGCUCAGAGCGAACGCUGGCGGCAGGCUUAACACAUGCAAGUCGAACGGACGCAGCAAUGCGUCAGUGGCAGACGGGUGAGUAACACGUGGGAACGUGCCCUUCGGUUCGGAACAACCCAGGGAAACUUGGGCUAAUACCGGAUACGUCCGCAAGGAGAAAGAUUUAUCGCCGAAGGAUCGGCCCGCGUCUGAUUAGCUUGUUGGUGAGGUAACGGCUCACCAAGGCGACGAUCAGUAGCUGGUCUGAGAGGAUGAUCAGCCACACUGGGACUGAGACACGGCCCAGACUCCUACGGGAGGCAGCAGUGGGGAAUAUUGGACAAUGGGCGCAAGCCUGAUCCAGCCAUGCCGCGUGGGUGAUGAAGGCCUUAGGGUUGUAAAGCCCUUUCGGCGGGGAAGAUAAUGACGGUACCCGCAGAAGAAGCCCCGGCUAACUUCGUGCCAGCAGCCGCGGUAAUACGAAGGGGGUUAGCGUUGCUCGGAAUCACUGGGCGUAAAGCGCACGUAGGCGGAUUGCUAAGUCAGGGGUGAAAUCCUGGAGCUCAACUCCAGAACUGCCCUUGAUACUGGCGACCUUGAGUCCGGGAGAGGUGAGUGGAACUGCGAGUGUAGAGGUGAAAUUCGUAGAUAUUCGCAAGAACACCAGUGGCGAAGGCGGCUCACUGGCCCGGUACUGACGCUGAGGUGCGAAAGCGUGGGGAGCAAACAGGAUUAGAUACCCUAGUAGUCC